UCCAUUCCAUCUUAAUCCAAUUACUCUCAUUCAUUCUUGGCCUAGGUAUUUAAAUCCUAAAAAAUCUGAAAAUUAUCCCCAUUUUCACCCAUAAUUCUUUUCUCCUUCCCCUCUCUUCUCUCUCUUUUCACUCUCUCUUUGCCGCCUUUAGCCGCCGCCGGAAAUCACCCACCGACGGCAGACCACCUCCAAACACCUUAAAAUUCACACCAUGUAAUCUCCACAACCUCCUCUUUUCAUAUCUCCAAACCAAAUCCUUCAAAAACCCCUCAAACUCUUUGAAUCUUAGAUCUAGAAAAUUUUACCCGUCAUUUUUUUUGUCCAAAUUCUUGAAGCUCUAACCACUACCACCCCAUAACACCUACAUCAAUGGAUAGAACUCCUCAAGACCUACCUAUUGAUUCCAAUUCUACCCCAAAAAUCUGGCGACCAUAAUCCGGCCAAAUUUCUGCAACCUCCCCGAACACCCUCUUUUGGCAUACCACCAUUUUUUCGGCCUUUUGAUUUGUAAAAUGGUAAAAAUCCUAUUCUUUUUCAUGGCUGAUUUUUUAUUUUAUUUUUAAUUUUCAGAUUUUAUUUUGUCUCUUAAUAAUUAUUUUAGCAUUAGUUUUUGAUGUUCGAAAUAUUAAAUUUCGUGUUUUUGCACUUGUUGAAGUGGUAAAAUUAUUUUGUAUUGAUGAAAGUGAGGUAGUGAAGAAUUACUUGAGAGUAUAGGGUAAUUGUUUUUUUUUAACUGCUUCAAGACUUUGUGAGUACAAAACUCAAAAGUCAUUUGUUUGGUAAGAAAAUAUAGACUUUUGGAUAAUUUUUGAAUAAAAGUCUAUCUUUGAAUAGUGAAGAGCAGAUUUUGUUUGUAAUAUUCUCUAUUGGACAAGAUUGAACCAAAAAAGUCUUGCUUUUGAAUUUAAGAGUAGAUUUUGUGAAAAAAUCUGUCAAAAAGAUUGACUUUUAAUCUUUAAAUAGCUGGUUGUUUUAUCAGAUAUAAAAAAGAAGAAGGAGGACACUCCAUCAAACUUAGAGAUCUCUACAUACACAAAAAAGAGGAAAAAAUCAGUAGCUAUAAUAUCCCUUAGCAGCUGAAAAUUGUGAGCUUUUGUGAGUUGAUUCUUAAGUGAAAAACUUGCUUAAGGAAAAUAGAGUAGUCUUGAAAUUUUUUUCUGGAGUUACAUAAUUGUUUGUUUCAACUGUUUUGCUGGGGUAUUUCUAGUUUAUUUUCUUGGGUUUGAAUCUACCGGUUGUCGCUGUCUUUUGCUGUUGUUGUUGCCGUUUAAUCGUUUUGCUGUUGAUUUUGGAAAGAGCUGACUCUGCUGUAUUUGUUCUUCUUUCUGCUGUCCAGGUAAUUUUCGGACCAUGUAAACUCAUAAAAUCGAGUUGGAAUGAAAGAUAAUGAAGCUGGAAAAUAUUAGUAGCUUUAUCCUUCUAUUGUAAUUCAUUUUUAUAUGCUCUUGAAUGUUUGAUAAUGUUAUAACGAUAUGUUAGUUAAUUAAAUUGUGUUAACCAUCUUUAAUUAUUUUUAUUUUUAUUUUUGCUAAAGCAUUAGAUAUAAUUCCACUGGGCGUUUGGUUGUCUGAAAGGAGCAUAUAUAUUAAAAUUUGAACUCUUGUAUCUNNN
RNAcentral lists this long non-coding RNA (1611 nucleotides) under Nicotiana tabacum (common tobacco). RNAcentral describes it as "long non-coding RNA (NTAB_LNC015316)". Lineage: Eukaryota; Viridiplantae; Streptophyta; Magnoliopsida; Solanales; Solanaceae. The record is from RNAcentral.